GACGAACGCUGGCGGCGCGCUUAACACAUGCAAGUCGAACGGAAAGGCCUGCUUUCCCUUGUGGAUUGCGGGUACUCGAGUGGCGAACGGGUGAGUAACACGUGAGUGAUCUGCCCCCAACUUGGGUAUAAGCCUGGGAAACUGGGUCUAAUUCCCGAUAGGACUGCAGGGUGGUGCCUGUGGUGGAAAACGAUUUUCUAGUGGUUGGGGAUGAGCUCGCGGCCUAUCAGCUUGUUGGUGGGGUAAUGGCCUACCAAGGCGGCGACGGGUAGCCGGCCUGAGAGGGUGGACGGCCACAUUGGGACUGAGCUACGGCCCAGACUCCUACGGGAGGCAGCAGUGGGGAAUAUUGCACAAUGGGCGGAAGCCUGAUGCAGCGACGCCGCGUGGGGGAUGACGGCCUUCGGGUUGUAAACUCCUUUCGACCGAGAGGAAGCCACCUGGUUGGAAGGGUGGUGACGGUAGUGGUAGAAGAAGCACCGGCUAACUACGUG
RNAcentral lists this ribosomal RNA (494 nucleotides) under uncultured bacterium. Its description in RNAcentral is "partial 16S ribosomal RNA". It matches the Rfam family "Bacterial small subunit ribosomal RNA", at positions 28 to 507 of the family's 1533-position model. The record is from RNAcentral.